Molecule: unclassified non-coding RNA, 315 nt
Filed under: uncultured bacterium
Lineage: Bacteria
Description: contains 16S-23S intergenic spacer region
Source: RNAcentral
CGAUAGGCAGCAGUUCGUCGAGUACGCAUUCCUUAAGGAAGUAGCUCAUGCUAGCCCCCUUCCGGUCCACGCCGCCGCCCUUCCCCUUGAUCGCUUCCUGAUAGCUAAAAGGCCCGCCGGCCCGCGUCACCUUGCCGAGCCGGGCACCAAGGCCGUUGCGAAUAUCGACAAUGGCCGACGCCGCAAAGCCGGGGAUCGGGGAGAGCUUCUUGCGCCGGUCAAAGUCCGUCACGCUCUCGCGGUCGCUGAACUUCUCAAGGUACUCGCAAAGGAACUGGUCGCCGCCCUUGUAGACAGCACGCCACUUGCACCAAU